This is a non-coding RNA of Salvia hispanica, 739 nucleotides long. NCBI's taxonomy places the organism in Eukaryota, Viridiplantae, Streptophyta, Magnoliopsida, Lamiales, Lamiaceae. The record is from RefSeq and is a predicted model, not a curated record.
UACCUGAUCUUUCACUUUCGCACGAAAACGGUACCUGAUCUUUAUUUUAUAUCGUUUAUGGUACCUCGUCACUAAAAUACCCCCUUUCCAAUUCAGAAUGACAUCCAUGUCCCAGAGGGUUGUCAAGUACUUACGAAAGUUACUCGGGUGAAGGAAGAAACGGGUGUCGUUGGCUUAGAGUUGAGUACGAAAAUUGUUGGUGUCGCCAAAGAGCAAGUCUCAAAAUAGUGGCUGACGCACGACGAGAAUCUUACGGUAUGUUGUACUUCGUUUGCGAGAAGAAAGGUAAGGUUGGGGGUUGUCAUUUUUUUCAAUGGUGUUAUCCAAAGUCGAUGGACAAGGAUUCUGUUGGGCAGAUUCGUCGAGAAGACGUUGACGAAGUUGAAUCACAAAGUUGUGAAGAUCGAAAGUGUGGCCGGACAGUGGGAGCUGGAUGUAAAGGGAAAGAAUUUUUUCUUGUAUGUGUUGCUUGUUGUUCUUUAGUUGUUGCAAUUGCUGCUAUGGUUAUUAGUUUGGUAAAUUAGAUCCGUCUAUUGGAAGCUUAGUGUAAUACAAUUAUGUUCAGUUGAUUUGGGGAAGACAACUACAUUUGUUAUUAUUUUGGUACUACAUUUGUUAUUAUUUUGGUAGUAAUGGUGUUAUUAUUUAGUACUAUUGGUUUUGGUACUGCAGUUGUUAUUAUUUUGGCACUACAUUUGUUAUUAUUUUGGUAAUAGUAAACUACGACUAAUUAUUUUGA